AUUGAACGCUCGCGGGAUGCUUUACACAUGCAAGUCGAACGGCAGCGCGGACUUCGGUCUGGCGGCGAGUGGCGAACGGGUGAGUAAUGUAUCGGAACGUGCCCAGUAGCGGGGGAUAACUACGCGAAAGCGUAGCUAAUACCGCAUACGCCCUACAGGGGAAAGCAGGGGAUCGUAAGACCUUGCACUAUUGGAGCGGCCGAUAUCGGAUUAGCUAGUUGGUGAGGUAACGGCUCACCAAGGCGACGAUCCGUAGCUGGUUUGAGAGGACGACCAGCCACACUGGGACUGAGACACGGCCCAGACUCCUACGGGAGGCAGCAGUGGGGAAUUUUGGACAAUGGGGGCAACCUUGAUCCAGCCAUCCCGCGUGUGCGAUGAAGGCCUUCGGGUUGUAAAGCACUUUUGGCAGGAAAGAAACGUCGCGGGCUAAUACCCCGUGGAACUGACGGUACCUGCAGAAUAAGCACCGGCUAACUACGUG
Molecule: ribosomal RNA, 484 nt
Filed under: uncultured bacterium
Lineage: Bacteria
Description: partial 16S ribosomal RNA
Rfam family: Bacterial small subunit ribosomal RNA
Source: RNAcentral